Molecule: ribosomal RNA, 774 nt
Filed under: Triticum aestivum (bread wheat)
Lineage: Eukaryota; Viridiplantae; Streptophyta; Magnoliopsida; Poales; Poaceae
Description: partial small subunit ribosomal RNA
Source: RNAcentral
AUGAAGAUCUCUACCGAGUUGAGCAGGGAAUAUUUCUGGCAUCUCAAUAUCGGCUGGGCCGCUCCGUCUCACACGUACAAGGUCGUCUGCAUCAAGAGCCCAUAUUGUAAGGUUCUCACGUUACAAGAUGGCGCCAAGUGGAGGCCGGCGCCGUCCCCUCCAGAAAUUGUCACUACCCACGGCAGCUCUGCCAUCACGGUCAAUGGUGUCAUGCACUUCCUUUCCGGGUCCGGGUUACAACGGGUGGAAGAGGUCUAUGUACUCUGCUUUGAUCUUGAAAGUGAGGAAUGGAGGGCGUCAAUCAGGGUCCCAAUGACAUCUGGUGACAAUCUACAAGGUAAGACAUGGACAAGAUCUAUGACCAAGCUUAAUGACGCCCUAUGCAUGGUUCAACGGACCUCAACCAACAUGUGGCUAAUAUGGCUUCUAACUGAUCCCACCAAAGGCACCUGGAUUAAGGCGUACACAAUACCAAUGGCUUCACCCGUUGACCAGGUGAUGCCUUUGAUGGUGAUGCAUGAUGGUCAAAAGUUGCUCUUCUAUCUGCGCGUUACAUCCUCGGCAACUCCGACACUGCAAGUCUACGAUCCACUCACACAAAACUUCACGCAACGUCUAAAAUUUGCGAGCAACCUUCUGGGUGCUCGUCUUUGUGACUUCCAUUUGGAAUAUUUUGUCUCGACUAAGGUCUUGCCAGUGACUGCGCCGAGUGUUUCAUCUCACCUAACAUUUCGCCAGUGGCUGCGCCAAUGGAAACCUCUUUCUCUCGUAUAA